This 811-nucleotide long non-coding RNA is filed under the name Erythranthe guttata (spotted monkey flower). Its description in RNAcentral is "long non-coding RNA (EGUT_LNC002118)". Lineage: Eukaryota; Viridiplantae; Streptophyta; Magnoliopsida; Lamiales; Phrymaceae. The record is from RNAcentral.
UAAUUGUUUAAUCAACCACAAAAUGUAUCUACUACUCUUAAUACACGGUUAUAUGGUAGUUGGUUUUUCUUUUCCUUUUAUGGGAGGCAAAUAAUUUUUGUCAUGAUAUGCGCGAAUCUUUCAUGAUUAUUUAUCAAAUAAACCCAUUGGAUAGUUUUCCAAUAUUUACUCUUGCGUUUUGAGUUUUUUUCCCCUUAUGCAUUUUUUUUCCUCUAAAGUUUUUGAUUGAAUUUACAACGAUGACAAUUCAAAUUUAUAUACAAAAGCUGCAACAAUCAUUGAAAAAAAUGCUAAUUUAAUUUUCUAGAUUAAAAAUAAUGAAAACAUUCACAUUACUUGAGCAAACAAAGAUUAAUUGCAUAAAUUCUCAAAUCAAAAUCUAUGCCAACUCUAUCAGAAUAUAAUGGAUCAACGAACGAAAAAAGAAAAAAGAAAAAAAUCACAGAUUUGUGUUGCCUAUUCAAGAAACAAUAAUAGCCUAUCAAUAUACUCACAAACUUAAAACCUAAUAAUAUAAAUAAUAGUUCGCAUAAUUACAUGAGCCUAGCAUGAAUGUUUGUAGAUGUACAACAUGUUGCCAAGUAUUUGGUGUAUGGUGUGAGAUGAUGAUGGUUUCUUCUCUUCUUUACUAUUUUUUCACGUUUAAUGUCUUAGAAUUGCUGAGUAGCUUCAAAUACAAAUACAACAACAAAGUCUUGUAAGUUAUAAAACUUAAAUAUUAUAAAUAAAUUAUAGCAAAAAAAGCUUUCAACUAAGAGAAGCACAUAAUAAAUGUCUGACAUAAUUUUUUUUCCUUCUACCGAAUUGCGUG